AUGGCCGCGCGUCUCGUCCACGGACCACGGUCCACCCCGCCGCUUCGCUGUCUCUCGCUCUCUAGCACACCAAAAAAAAAAACCCUCAGAAUGGCGAAGGGACAGGAAACCCUAGCGCUGGCCGCCGGCGUCUUAACCCCGCUGCAGGUAAUGCGGAGGGACGCGUGCGACGACGGUGACCGGCGGCUCCGUCACCUUGCGCUCUUCAUCGAUCCACGCACCAUGUUAUAUGUGUCUGCUUCUAAGAAGACACGGGUAAUGAAGUGCCACAGGUCUGGAGUUUUCAUUCGUCAGGUGUUGAACACAGGAGCAGACAAUCUCAUGGAUCCGGUGUUUAGGGAAGCAGCAGACAAAGGAAAUAUAAUUAGCCUACAAGAGCUUGCUGUCAAACCCAACAUAAUUUACUCGACGACAAAGGCGGAGAAAAAUACAGGACUUCACAUCGCGGCGUCAAAAGGACACACUUUGUUUGUCCACCAUUUCCUCCUCCAUGCAGGCAUGAAUAUGGAGCUCAUGGUCAGUCAAAACAAUGAUGGCGAUACGCCACUGCACCUGGCGGCGAGAGCUGGCCAUCUAGAAGUGGUCGAGCACCUGAUACAAUACUCAGGGUGGGCAAGGAAAAUCAAUGCCAACUUAAAGGUUCUCAGCUCACUAGCAAUAUGCAUUCUAUUUGAGUUAAGCUCCAAUCUGGAACCGAUCUCCAUCACCGGGGGCAAGACCAUUUGGGAUGGAGAGUUUGCCGCAGUAGCACCACCAGCUCUCGCUAGAGGUAGAAGAUGCGAGCAUUCAGUCAAAGCCAACCUGCCUCCUUUUUGGCAUGGCCUCACCUUGGGUCGCCGUCGCAAACACAAGGGCAUCCUUCUCGCCGUAGGGUGCCACCACCGCAAGCCCCUGUUGCAAGAUCUCGUUGAGCUACCACAAACGACCUACCACCUUAGCAGAACAACCACCCUGAGCUGUGUUGCAAGAUCUCCUCGAGUACAAGGGGCUGUUUGGAUUGGAGCCUGCAGCUGCCAAGCCAAAAAUUUGGUAGUUGACCAAGUGCUGGCGCUCCUUUGA
This 1059-nucleotide ribosomal RNA is filed under the name Triticum aestivum (bread wheat). Its description in RNAcentral is "partial small subunit ribosomal RNA". The record is from RNAcentral. Lineage: Eukaryota; Viridiplantae; Streptophyta; Magnoliopsida; Poales; Poaceae.